GACAAACGCUGGCGGCGUGCCUAACACAUGCAAGUCGAGCGCGAAAGGGACCUUCGGGUCCCCUGAGAGCGGCGAACGGGUGAGUAACACGUGGGCAACCUGCCUCAAGGACUGGGAUAACUUCGGGAAACCGGGGCUAAUACCGGACGAUGUCGUCUCGUGCAAGCGAGCCGACCAAAUGGUAGCUUCGGCCUCCGCCUUGAGAUGGGCCCGCGUCCUAUCAGCUUGUUGGUGAGGUAAUGGCUCACCAAGGCUACGACGGGUAGCUGGUCUGAGAGGAUGAUCAGCCACACUGGGACUGAGAUACGGCCCAGACACCUACGGGUGGCAG
RNAcentral lists this ribosomal RNA (331 nucleotides) under uncultured Actinomycetes bacterium. Its description in RNAcentral is "bacterial SSU rRNA". It matches the Rfam family "Bacterial small subunit ribosomal RNA", at positions 28 to 351 of the family's 1533-position model. Lineage: Bacteria; Bacillati; Actinomycetota; Actinomycetes. The record is from RNAcentral.